GGUACACAUUGCUGUUGAAGAUGAUUAUUUGUUGCAAAUUUUACAUGUUUAAUCAAUUUUUAUAGAAAUCUAUGAAAUUCAAUCACAAGGUUUAUAAUCUCAACAGAAAGGUUGGUAUUGAUUUUUGGGGUUAUGGUCCCAACAGUUUAGGAAUAAGGGUCCAAAAAGGGCCUUAAUAAGCAUAUUUCUAGUUUCAAGAGUCCAGACAAUACCUUGUGGAACUGUGCAUAUAUCUCUCUGACAUUAUACCACAAGUUUCCGUACCACAAAGGGAUGGUUAGGAUUGGCUUUGGGGGGGGUUUAUGACUCAACCCCUUUAGGAAUAAGUGGGAGAACAAGGGCUUACUGUUUAAUGGACAAUAACUUUUAAGUACUAUGUUGUAUUUGAACUACCUCCCUUAUACUGCUUAUAUAUAUAUAAAUCAUGUUUAAAGAAA
This 437-nucleotide long non-coding RNA is filed under the name Mytilus galloprovincialis (Mediterranean mussel). Lineage: Eukaryota; Metazoa; Mollusca; Bivalvia; Mytilida; Mytilidae. The record is from RNAcentral.